UUUUUUAGUCAUAUAGAAUAUCUUUCAAAAGGAUAUAAUGUAGCAUUGGAAUAAAAAGCUCCGGAGCAUUUAGAACAUGCAUUACAAAGUGAUGUAAUUAUAUUUUCUGGAAUAGAUUAUAGAAAUUUCAAAGCUCAAAGGCCUUUGUGUGACCAAUCCAUGUGAUGUCUUCUCCUUGGCAAAAACUUCAAGAUCUAUUUUAAAAUUUUAUUGAUGGCAAUUCUAAAAAUAACAAGUGAUCGUGAUCAUGAAUGUGGGUUUUGAAAAGAAGAAUAUCAUAGCAAGUCCAAAAUGAUUAAAGAGCAUCCUUCAAAGUUUCUUUUUUUUUUUUUCAGGGUCUUGCUUUGUCACCCAGGCUGGAGUGCAGUGGAGUGAUUACAGCUCACUGAAACCUACAAAUCCCAGGCUGAAGCAAUCCUCCUGGCUCAGCUUCCUGAAUAGCUAGGACUACAGGUGCUCGGGUGCUCACCAUCAUGCCCAGCUAAUCAAGGUUCUAAAUCCUCAUAAUGGUUGCCAGAUUCGGCUGUGUGAUUUGUAUCCUGCAAUAAAAUGCACAGACCACAAGUUUGCCUUUCUGCACCCACUGUUCCACCAGCAACGUGCACAAAACAAUGCCCAUCAUUGUCUCCCGGGAGCUUUGUGCAGACCUGAAGUGACAAAAGGGAGUAACUUCAAACAAAUCAACAGAAUGUAAUUACAGGUAAGGAGUUUGGCUUUACUCUUUCGAAAGGCCUUUGAGGCCCGGGAUAAAUUUUGACUCAACACCAAUUGGACUGGUUUUAGGAUCAGUUGUUUAUUUAAAUCUAUUACAUCCAGAUUUCACAUGAGCCAAGAGACCCACCUGCAAAUCCUGACCAAAGUUUACUGUCUUCCAACUACCAUCUGGGACAGGGAAAAUCCCCAGAAAAAGUUGAAGUGAAAGAUAUUGGUAAUAUGACCUCUAGCACUAUCAGCAUGGACAAGAACCAAGUUGUUAAGGCC
Molecule: long non-coding RNA, 981 nt
Filed under: Microcebus murinus (gray mouse lemur)
Lineage: Eukaryota; Metazoa; Chordata; Mammalia; Primates; Cheirogaleidae
Description: lncRNA (ENSMICG00000048350.1)
Source: RNAcentral